This 1116-nucleotide long non-coding RNA is filed under the name Gadus morhua (Atlantic cod). RNAcentral describes it as "lncRNA (ENSGMOG00000035894.1)". Lineage: Eukaryota; Metazoa; Chordata; Actinopteri; Gadiformes; Gadidae. The record is from RNAcentral.
AUGACGACCAAUAAAAAACGACAGUAUUACCCCUUGUUUUUUUUUUCAUGACGACCAAUAAAAAACAACAGUGUUACCCCUUAUGUUUUUUUUCAUGACAACCAACAAUAAACGACAGUGUUACCCCUUAUUUCUUUUUUCAUGACGACCAAAGAAAAAGGACAGUGUCACCCCUCAUGUUUCAUUUGGUGAAAACGACAGUGUUACCCCCUAUGUUUUAUUCGAUACAUUUCGACUGUUACCCCUUAUGGGCUUUUCAUGACGACAGAUAAAAAAAGACAGUGUUACCCUUUACGUUUCAUUUGAUAAACACGACAGUGUUACCCCCUAUGAUUUAUUCGAUACAUUUCGACAGUGUUACCCCUUAUGGGUUUUUCAUGACGACAGAUAAAGAACGACAGUGUUACCCUUUACGUAUCUUUUGAUAAAAACGACAGUGUUACCCCUUAUGUUUUUUUCCCAUGAUGACUGAUGAAAAACAACAGUGUUACCCCUUAUAUUUUAUGUGACAAGGACAAUUUUUUCUUUUUUUUCAAAUAUGUUUUUUUUCAUGACGACCAAUAAAAUACGACAGUGUUACCCCUUAUAUUUUAUUUGACAAAGACAACAGUGUUACCCCUUAUGUUUUUUUUCAUGACGACCAAUAAAAAAACCACAGUGUUACCCCUUAUGUUUUUUUUCAUGACGACCAAUGAAAAACAACAGUGUUACCCCGUUUUAUUUGAUAAAUAUCGACAGUGUUACCCCUCAUGUAUCAUUUGAUAAAAACGACAGUGUGGUUUUUUUCAUGACGACCAAAGAAAAACGGCAGUUACCCCUCAUGUUUUUAUCCAUGUUGACCAAUAAAAAAUAACAGUGGUACCCCUGACUACCUUUUUUCAGGGAUCCGAACCUGAGCUGUUUAGAGUAUUAUCCUCCGAACUUAUCAAUGCACCAUCAAGACACAGAAUAAAGUCAUCACAAUGGUUAUACUUGACUUUAUAAUUCGCAUGAAAUAGAAAUAAGAGACUUCCAACAGAGGACAUCAACCGGACUUGAACCCUGGUCUCCAGGGGGUUAGCUCACAGCUCUCUCCACUUUCCAAUGAUAUUUUAAAUAAAAUUUUGUCUGAGAUUA